RNAcentral lists this ribosomal RNA (336 nucleotides) under uncultured bacterium. Its description in RNAcentral is "partial 16S ribosomal RNA". It matches the Rfam family "Bacterial small subunit ribosomal RNA", at positions 338 to 691 of the family's 1533-position model. The record is from RNAcentral.
CCUACGGGAGGCAGCAGUAGGGAAUAUUGCUCAAUGGGGGAAACCCUGAAGCAGCAACGCCGCGUGGAGGAUGAAGGUUUUCGGAUGGGAAACUCCUUUUGGUAGAGAAGAAAAGGACGGUAGCUAACGAAUAAGCACCGGCUAACGCCGGGCCAGCAGCCGCGGUAAUACGGAGGGUGCAAGCGUUACACGGAAUAACUGGGCGUAAAGAGCGCGUAGGCGGGCUAGCAAGUCAGAUGUGAAAUCCUAUGGCUUCACCAUAGAACGGCAUUUGAAACUGUUAUUCUAGAGUAUGGGAGAGGUAGGUGGAAUUCUUGGUGUCGCGGUCAAAUCCUU